AACAGGUAAUAAAAACAGGUGAUAAAACAUGCUCUCAUGGAAUGCAUCACCCAUAAGUAAAUCACAUCAUCUCGGCAUGGACGGAUCAAAACUCCCUCUAUCUGGGUCCGGCCUUCUAGGAGCUCUUAGGACUACACGUAAUCUGGGGUACCGAAGUACCAGUGGCCUGGUCCCCGUAGGGCUGUUCCAAGUCCACAUCUUGAGGGCUAUUG
This 212-nucleotide long non-coding RNA is filed under the name Manihot esculenta (cassava). RNAcentral describes it as "long non-coding RNA (MESC_LNC006188)". Lineage: Eukaryota; Viridiplantae; Streptophyta; Magnoliopsida; Malpighiales; Euphorbiaceae. The record is from RNAcentral.